This 245-nucleotide long non-coding RNA is filed under the name Lathyrus oleraceus (garden pea). RNAcentral's name for it is "Pisum sativum (pea) long non-coding RNA (PSAT_LNC007875)". The record is from RNAcentral. Lineage: Eukaryota; Viridiplantae; Streptophyta; Magnoliopsida; Fabales; Fabaceae.
CCGAUCAUACUAGGCAGAGUUAGCCGGGGUCCACUGUCCGGUCACAAAACAGAAAAACAGAGAAUACAUACUCUAUGAAUGUGACGACCGUCACAAAGCAUGUUACGACCGUCACAUCAAUAUUGUUACGAUCGUCACAGGCCCAUGACGAACGUCACGCGGCCAAAAUCAGCGCUUUGAACCAGUCAAUAGACGUGAUCCAACAAGCCCUCAAUUUACAACUCUUUGACAGCACAACCCUUGUG